UUUUUUAGGCCCCCGGCUGACAAACAGCUAGCAGGAGUUUGGACCACCUCAGGGACCGUCUGUUGAGGACACCUUCAUACCUGUCCAUCACUUGGCUGUAGGACUCCACAUGGUGACGCCUCUCGAAGCCGUACGUGUCUGUGCUGCUGAGGCAACGUCCAUUGGUUAUUACACAUUGUAAAGAAGAAAAGGGUCAGCUUUCCUCCUCUGUCCACUCUUCUUUCUUUUUCUCAUCCCUUGAUGACAAGCACUGCCUCCUCCUGGCUUGUGUUUCUCUGGCUGGGAGAUCAAAUGCCCUGACUGGUUGCACUGCACAGCAGAGGCUAUUCCAUAUGCGCUCCUAUCAAGCCAGGUCACGGCCCGUGUUCUGCCCGUGCUGUGUCAGCGUCCGACUCGUAGCGCAGUGUGGAUGCAGGAGAGCGAGAAUCCAACAGGGGGAGCCAGAGAGGACUCCGGCGAAGUGGCA
Entelurus aequoreus (snake pipefish) is the source of this 466-nucleotide long non-coding RNA. RefSeq lists it as uncharacterized. The transcript has 4 exons. The record is from RefSeq and is a predicted model, not a curated record. Lineage: Eukaryota; Metazoa; Chordata; Actinopteri; Syngnathiformes; Syngnathidae.